Molecule: long non-coding RNA, 743 nt
Filed under: Vitis vinifera (wine grape)
Lineage: Eukaryota; Viridiplantae; Streptophyta; Magnoliopsida; Vitales; Vitaceae
Description: long non-coding RNA (VVIN_LNC000442)
Source: RNAcentral
UCUCGAAUGUGUUCCUCCUUUUAAGACAUAUUCUUUAUGAGAAAACAGGCGUGAACAGAAAGAGUAGAUUCUCUGAUCUCAACUUCAUUUCCGGUAUCAGAUAUUCGAUCCUCCAGUCAUGGUACUGUUGUUUCAACAAUUCACAAGCAAAUAACAAUAUGCUACGACUCUUCAAUUGUCGAAUAACCAGUAGAUUUGCCUGACAUUUUAUCAAUGGUGGAAUCAGGUUCCUUCUCAUGGGCAUCAGAAGCCAACUUGUUUUCUGCAACUGGUGGGAUGAACAAAGAAGCAUGCUCUUAGGUUGAGUCAGGUACAAAUCCUACUGCAUUUCCUUCCAUAGUUUCAGAAGAAAAUCUAGAAUGGGACUUUUAUACUUUGUCAACUGGUCCAUUUCGAAUGAUUCCCUUCAGAACCUUGCUUUCUCUGUUCUGUCUCCUUUUCUGUUCCGGCUCAAAAUUUCAACUGUACGAUGGUGUGAUGCAUUUGAUUCUCAUCUGAAGGAAAGAAAAGAAUUUGUAUGUGAUUCUAUUCAUUUAUCAAGAACAAGCUGAUGGUCAAUCUUGAAACCCAACCAUUCUCAGAUAAUUCAAACUCUACUACAAGUUGAUCGUUCCCUUUUUCGAUUGGAAGUUAUCCUCAGAUACCUUUCAUUUUCAUGAGUAGUUUAUGCACCAAAAUUAUCGAUGACAGUGUUCAGGAAGUAAGGCUCAUCAUGGGAAGUCUUUCUCUUGUAAGGCUUAAUU